CUUUUGGAGAGUUUGAUCCUGGCUCAGGACGAACGCUGGCGGCGUGCCUAAUACAUGCAAGUCGAGCGAAUCAGAUGGGAGC
This 82-nucleotide ribosomal RNA is filed under the name Pradoshia eiseniae. RNAcentral describes it as "Bacillaceae bacterium EAG3 partial 16S ribosomal RNA". It matches the Rfam family "Bacterial small subunit ribosomal RNA", at positions 1 to 83 of the family's 1533-position model. The record is from RNAcentral. Lineage: Bacteria; Bacillati; Bacillota; Bacilli; Caryophanales; Bacillaceae.